UACGGAGGGUGCGAGCGUUGUCCGGAAUCACUGGGCGUAAAGGGCGCGUAGGCGGCGCGGGAAGUCAUCGGUGAAAGCUCAGGGCUCAACUCUGAGUCGGCCGGUGAUACUCUCGUGCUUGAGCACUGUAGAGGCAGGUGGAAUUCCGGGUGUAGCGGUGGAAUGCGUAGAGAUCCGGAAGAACACCGGUGGCGAAGGCGGCCUGCUGGGCAGUAGCUGACGCUCAGGCGCGACAGCGUGGGGAUCAAACAGG
Molecule: ribosomal RNA, 253 nt
Filed under: uncultured bacterium
Lineage: Bacteria
Description: partial 16S ribosomal RNA
Rfam family: Bacterial small subunit ribosomal RNA
Source: RNAcentral